UGGGGGAUAUUGCACAAUGGGCGAAAGCCUGAUGCAGCGACGCCGCGUGGGGGAUGAAGGCUUUCGGGUUGUAAACCUCUUUCGCUAUCGAACAAGGCCCGCUUAGGGUGGGUUGAGGGUAGGUGGAGAAGAAGCGCCGGCUAACUACGUGCCAGCAGCCGCGGUAAUACGGAGGGCGCGAGCGUUGUCCGGAAUUAUUGGGCGUAAAGGGCUUGUAGGCGGCUUGUUGCGCCUGCUGUGAAAACGCGGGGCUUAACUUCUCGCGUGCAGUGGGUACGGGCAGUCUUGAGUGUGGUAGGGGUGACUGGAAUGCCAGGUGUAGCGAUGGAAUGCGCAGAUAUCUGGAGGAACACCGAUGGCGAAGGCAGGUCACUGGGCCAUUACUGACGCUGAGGAGCGAAAGCAUGCGUAGCGAACAGG
This 420-nucleotide ribosomal RNA is filed under the name bacterium. Its description in RNAcentral is "partial 16S ribosomal RNA". It matches the Rfam family "Bacterial small subunit ribosomal RNA", at positions 355 to 776 of the family's 1533-position model. The record is from RNAcentral.